AUUGAUGAUCUAAAACAAAUGUGGAUCUUUGUAAGCUUGACUAGGUCAUGUAAAAUAGGGUGGAGUUCGUGUGAGAUUUACCUAUGGCAACGUGGUGUAUAUCUUAGUUGUGUGGGAAUAUAUGCUUAUGGACUUGUAUAGGGCAUUAAUCUUUUUGGACAUAAUCUACAGCUAAUCUAGGUCUCUAGAACUUCCCAAAAUUUUCUUCGAUCAUAAUAGCAAACAAUCCAUCUUUGCCUCAUCUCAGUUCUCACCUAUGUUGCUCGGACUCGGGUGCGGGUGUCGGAUACGGGUACGGAUCUAGAGGUCAGAUUCGUCAUGAUCUAAAAUUUAAGAUUCGUGGGUAUGGAUCCAGGUAUAGAUACGGGUGCGGGGAUUCGGCAAAAAAUAAUUUAGAAUUCUAAAAAUAGAGUUAUAAAACCUACUUUAUGAGAUAUUACGUGGAAAACUUCAGGAGAAAAUAUUGAUCAAGAGGAGAAUCUCGGAAGGAGAUAAAAGGAAAAGGAGCGACAUAGAAAUUUCUAUAUACAAAUUAUUCCAUUUUCUUCAAUUUCACCAUAGCUUUUGUUUUGAUUACAUAAAUCAUUGAAUCUGUCCGGAAUUUCUUCCUCGAUUUUGGUCAAAGUACCCAAAAUUGGUUGACCAGAUCGGGUACGGAUCCUACACCCACACCCAUGUCGUGUCGACACGGAUGCGGCACCGAAAGUGAAGAGUCCCAUCACUAUAACUCCCAAAGAAACUAUUUUUUGUCUGCUCUUUCUGUCUAACAAAUUUAACCUCGUCGUUUAACAAAGUGUUUUAAUACUGGGACCAUUUUUGGAGUUCUGUAGAAACAGUUCUUCUUAUGUCAUAUUCCCUGUUACCAUUCCUUGGGGCCAGGGGUCUCUUAUCUCUAAAUCAUUUAUUUGUUUUAUCAUUUGGACUCCAGGAAGAAGAUAUCUCUAGCUUUAGAAGAUGAAUUGAAGUUUUAGACCAGCUCGUACUUGCUUAUAUCUUAGGAAUUUUAUUUCUUCAAGUAUCUUUGCAGUGCCAAAAUUAACACCAAGUUUCAUGUUUGGAGUUCUGAAUUAUCAUAUUACGCCAGCAUUCUCGUUAUAUCUGCUUCUAUUCCCAAGUGGAUGACAUUAUGGAAAAUCUGAAAGGCAACAUUUCAACUUUGUGUGGCUCACGUUUGCUCAAGACAAGUGUGCAUCGGUUUCUUCGGAUUAUCAUAAUAUUCAUCGUACCAUGGUUUAAAAUAAUAUGCUGGCUAGGUUGAAGCAUUAAAUUGCAUAAUCUAUGCUAUUAAAACUAAGGAAUUUAGAUAUUUCAGAAAACGGUAUCUAUCAUGAUGCGCUUAGUAUCUAUCGUAGUGCGCUCAGUACUAUAUUGGAAGAAAUUGUUGGGAGUACCUGUAACCAAAUGUCACGUCAGCGGAGUCAUCUGACUCAACAGUUUGGACCAUAUGGAGCCAAAUUGGGCGUUAUUGGUUUCUUGACUUAAACAUAUGGUGAAUGGGUAUUUUAGUUAUCUAUGGGAUAACAUAAAACAUAACAUUUAAUAUUUUGUGUUUAUGGUUAAUGUACAUAGCUCCCGAUUCCAGAAUAAAGGUUGAACUACAUAGUUGCAGGAUUUUUUUCAUAAAUGACUGAUUCCAGUCUUAACUUGCUUCAUUUGGGGUUCAAGUAUUCAUGUUAUCUUGUGACUGUAAUUGGAUUAAGUCUUAAGUUUUGAUUUUCAAGAUUGUGUUUCAGACCAUGAUAACACACAAUUCUGUGCUUCUGAAAUCACUAAAGUUCUUUUCUUUUGUUGGGUGCAGGUGUAUGCAAUGUAUGCAGCAUGCAAAGCAUGAAUAUUUUCUUGUGAAGAAUAAACUUGAAACUUUGUUUAGGCUGGAGCAACAAAUCCUGGCUGCUGGUGGUACGAUUCCUAUCAUAUCUUAAGGUGCUAAUACCAUGAAAGGGAUGGCGAGAACAAAAAAAGAUAAAUUAGGGGUUUGCUGCUGCAGAGAGUUUCAAGAUUUUUCAUGAGCUCCUUUGACUGCUAGCUUUUAAUUGUUGAAGGUCUAAAGAAUUUCAUGUGAAUAACAUAUUUAAUCAUCUUUGUUGCUUCAUUUUCAUAGGUUUUCUCGCGAUCUAUGUUAUGUUCGACCUGUCAUUUCUUUGUUUUAUAAACUCAAAUCUCACAAUUCAGAUGUUGGGUGAGUGUUUAAGACAGUAUUAGUCAUUUGUAGAACUUGAGAUGACAACGUUGUAAGUACUAUAAAUAGAGGAUUGUGUUUGAUGCCCAAA
Lycium ferocissimum is the source of this 2270-nucleotide long non-coding RNA. RefSeq lists it as uncharacterized. The transcript has 2 exons. The record is from RefSeq and is a predicted model, not a curated record. NCBI's taxonomy places the organism in Eukaryota, Viridiplantae, Streptophyta, Magnoliopsida, Solanales, Solanaceae.